UGCCAGCAGCCGCGGUAAUACGGAGGGGGCUAGCGUUGCUCGGAAUUACUGGGCGUAAAGCGCGCGUGGGCGGUGCAUCUAGUGAGGCGUGAAAGCCCUGGGCUUAACCCAGGAACUGCGUUUCAUACUGGUCAUCUAGAGUGGAUGAGAGGUAAGUAGAAUUCCUCGUGUAGUGGUGAAAUGCGUAGAUAUGAGGAAGAAUACCAGUGGCGAAGGCGACUUACUGGCAUCCAACUGACGCUCAGACGCGAAAGCAUGGGUAGCGAACGGGAUUAGAUA
This 279-nucleotide ribosomal RNA is filed under the name uncultured bacterium. RNAcentral's name for it is "partial 16S ribosomal RNA". It matches the Rfam family "Bacterial small subunit ribosomal RNA", at positions 506 to 784 of the family's 1533-position model. The record is from RNAcentral.